AUUGAACGCUGGCGGCAUGCCUUACACAUGCAAGUCGAACGGCAGCACGGGAGCAAUCCUGGUGGCGAGUGGCGAACGGGUGAGUAAUAUAUCGGAACGUGCCCAGUCGUGGGGAUAACGUAGCGAAAGCUACGCUAAUACCGCAUACGAUCUAUGGAUGAAAGCGGGGGAUCGCAAGACCUCGCGCGAUUGGAGCGGCCGAUAUCAGAUUAGGUAGUUGGUGAGGUAAAGGCUCACCCAAGCCGACGAUCUGUAGCUGGUCUGAGAGGACGACCAGCCACACUGGGACUGAGACACGGCCCAGACUCCACGGAGGCAGCAGUGGGGAAUUUUGGACAAUGGCGCAAGCCUGAUCCAGCAAU
This 362-nucleotide ribosomal RNA is filed under the name uncultured bacterium. RNAcentral describes it as "bacterial SSU rRNA". It matches the Rfam family "Bacterial small subunit ribosomal RNA", at positions 30 to 395 of the family's 1533-position model. The record is from RNAcentral.